This 727-nucleotide ribosomal RNA is filed under the name uncultured Shigella sp. RNAcentral's name for it is "bacterial SSU rRNA". It matches the Rfam family "Bacterial small subunit ribosomal RNA", at positions 1 to 742 of the family's 1533-position model. The record is from RNAcentral. Lineage: Bacteria; Pseudomonadati; Pseudomonadota; Gammaproteobacteria; Enterobacterales; Enterobacteriaceae.
UCGGCUUAGAGUUUGAUCAUGGCUCAGAUUGAACGCUGGCGGCAGGCCUAACACAUGCAAGUCGAACGGUAAAACAGCUUGCUGUUUACGAGUGGCGGACGGGUGAGUAAUGUCUGGGAAACUGCCUGAUGGAGGGGGAUAACUACUGGAAACGGUAGCUAAUACCGCAUAACGUCGCAAGACCAAAGAGGUUCGUCUUGCCAUCGGAUGUGCCCAGAUGGGAUUAGCUUGUUGGUGGGGUAACGGCUCACCAAGGCGACGAUCCCUAGCUGGUCUGAGAGGAUGACCAGCCACACUGGAACUGAGACACGGUCCAGACUCCUACGGGAGGCAGCAGUGGGGAAUAUUGCACAAUGGGCGCAAGCCUGAUGCAGCCAUGCCGCGUGUAUGAAGAAGGCCUUCGGGUUGUAAAGUACUUUCAGCGGGGAGGAAGGGAGUAAAGUAAUCUUUACUCUUGACGUUACCCGCAGAAGAAGCACCGGCUAACUCCGUGCCAGCAGCCGCGGUAAUACGGAGGGUGCAAGCGUUAAUCGGAAUUACUGGGCGUAAAGCGCACGCAGGCGGUUUGUUAAGUCAGAUGUGAAAUCCCCGGGCUCAACCUGGGAACUGCAUCUGAUACUGGCAAGCUUGAGUCUCGUAGAGGGGGGUAGAAUUCCAGGUGUAGCGGUGAAAUGCGUAGAGAUCUGGAGGAAUACCGGUGGCGAAGGCGGCCCCCUGGACGAGACUG